This is a non-coding RNA of Schistosoma mansoni, 78 nucleotides long. NCBI's taxonomy places the organism in Eukaryota, Metazoa, Platyhelminthes, Trematoda, Strigeidida, Schistosomatidae. The record is from Rfam.
AGCUUUCUGAAUUCGUGCUCAGACUUCGUCAGACACCAACAUACUAGGGGUGACGAGACUUCCAAUAUAAGUGAAGUG